GCAGAAAAGAUGAGUUUGCUCAUGGCUCGAAUGUACUGAGAGCCAUCCAUGGAAGUGAGUUUGAGGCUGCUCAUGGGUAGCAGGGCUCUGUUAGUGUAAUAUCUGAGGAAUGGAGUCUGGGCUUCGAUUGCCUCCAUAUACACCUAACAAUAGAGACAAGAACAUGUUAAAACGGUCACGGUAAUAUGUGUAGUAUAGAAUACUGAAACAAUAUUUUCAACAUAGAUAGAUACAGUAUAUAGAUAUAGACAUAUCUGAAUAUCAACAUUUGUAUGUAGAUAGAUAGUAGAUAGAUUAAUAAGAAUAAAAUCAAAAGUCAUUUAUAUAUUCCGUAGUUUCAGACUAAUAAGAACAUACCACUUUUCUUUACAAUUCUUCUAGGGGUCUAAUUUGAUCUUUUUACUUAAAAGUAAAAACAAUAUUAAAAUCAGUUCUAAAAACACAAAUCCCUUAUUAACAAAAAAUAACAAAAUAUUCAACAUUACACAAUGUCACAGAUCACAGAGACACAAAAUUAGAUCAGUUAACCUCAAAACUGUUUCGACUGACUAAAUCUCACAAAUGUCGAUAAUCAAAAUGAAGAAGACCAUAGCCAUUCAUUAAAUGUGCUGUUAUAGUGAAAAUGACCUCAGAGAAGUAAAAAAAAAAAAAUUUACAUUAAUAUAUUACUGUAAUAUUAAUAUUAUUGUUGUGUUGUUCAUUGUUUUGCUAGGCCGAUUGUUUGUUUUUAACAGAAACUUUAAGAUUCAUUUAUAAAAAAAAAAAAAUCAAUAUUAAGUUAUAAAAUAAUUAAACCGGUCAUAUUUCAUAUCUGCUUCUUUAUUUGGCUCUGAAUCAGACGUUCUCUCUUUCACUCUCACUCAGAGGCUGGCGGCUGGCUGCAGCACCUGUAUGAUGUCUUCGGUGUCCUGAGCGGCGUUCUGGAACACAGACUGGCAGUGCUGCAGUCCUCCCAUGCUGCCGGUCACAAGGAUUCGUCCGUGUCUCUUUUUCUUCAUGUCUGGUAGGAAGGUCUGUAUGGUGCGGAGGGUGCCCAGCAGAUUGACAUCCAGGAUUGCAUGUAUAUCGUCCAGCUUUUGACGGAUUUGAUGCGAGAUGCACAGCCAGGCUGAGUCCAAUCCCUGAAGAGCAUCCAGUAAUGAGAACAACUUUCUGCUCCAUUUGUGCAAUAAAGCAUCAGUCCGCAACACAAAGGAGACGAGCGCUGCUGCAGUGGUGCUCUGAGGUUGAAGUUAUGUGGUCUGUCUAACUGCUGUGUCUCUGAUUCAAGUGUUUUAUCUUUCUCUGCUAUCACAAGGCCAGCUUGGUGGAAACAUUCUGAUUUCACACUCUUUUUUUUUUUUUCACUCAGCAGGUGCAACUUCAGACUCACACACAGUACAUGUCAGCAGCUGUGCUGAAUAUUAUACUGAAGAAAUGUUCAGUAAAUGAUUUAAAAUGACUUAUAAUGGGGACCGGUCCCUGCCAUGCCUGCAAGACUAUAUUGCUGCCCAACUGAGAAAUUUGAUCUCUCCUGUUCAGCUCAGCUUCGUCAGUGGCUGCUUUCGCUCUUUAAAUACACCAGAGCGCGCACUCCCUCAAACUCUACACACUUCUGGAAGCGUCCAGUGAAUCAGACCAAUCAAAACACAGCAAGCAGCCGCGUGCCGGUGUUACGUCCGCUGUCACUGAAGCAGCUGAGAGGAAGUUUAUGGACGCUUCCAGAAUUUUGCUGUGAAAGUACGAUAAAUACAAUGAACUUUAAAAACAUGUCUUUUCCCUGUCAUGUUUGAAUGCACUCUUACACAAAUUAUAUGAAAUAUGGCUAAGUUUAAAAAAUAUAUAUUUUUAGGCUAUGUGUCUUUGUU
Molecule: long non-coding RNA, 1847 nt
Organism: Onychostoma macrolepis
Lineage: Eukaryota; Metazoa; Chordata; Actinopteri; Cypriniformes; Cyprinidae
Exons: 4
Source: RefSeq, a predicted model, not a curated record